This 253-nucleotide ribosomal RNA is filed under the name uncultured bacterium. RNAcentral's name for it is "partial 16S ribosomal RNA". It matches the Rfam family "Bacterial small subunit ribosomal RNA", at positions 524 to 776 of the family's 1533-position model. The record is from RNAcentral.
UACGGAGGGAGCUAGCGUUGUUCGGAAUUACUGGGCGUAAAGCGCGCGUAGGCGGCUUUGUAAGUUAGAGGUGAAAGCCCGGAGCUCAACUCCGGAACUGCCAUUGAAACUGUAAGACUUGAGGAUGAGAGAGGUGAGUGGAAUUCCCAGUGUAGAGGUGAAAUUCGUAGAUAUCGAGAGGAACACCGGUGGCGAAGGCGGCCAACUGGACGAAUACUGACGCUGAGACUCGAAAGCGUGGGGAGCAAACAGG